AGUUCCCAUUAUCUCUGAUCAUCCACGCGAGCAGUGCAGGUUCGCUGAGAAAAGUGGGAACGGCAGAUGCUGGACACUCCGAGAAAACAAGGUGUCCAGCUGGAUGAAUAUAACAGGCCAAGCAGUAUCAGAGGAGCAGGAAAGCCUACGUUUUGUGCCUGGCCCCUUCGCUGAGACUAAGGUUUGUGCAAUUGAGAUACCAGCGAUCGUUGCCAAAGCCCUGUUGCGUGUGGAAAAUGUGAUGUUCAACUUUCGCAUGCUGCUGCAGUUCAUAUGAUGAAGGUGCUCCCACAAUGCGGUCAUUAGAGAAGUUACAGAUCAUUCAUCUAGCGAUACUGAAGAGCUGAUGGUGUAUGUCCAAAUCAACAAACUGAUAUUACAAGUGGACUUGCAGGUGGGAAACUCAAUAAUUGUAACACCAAACUCUGACAGAAUUACUCAAUUCAUCAACAUCUGGAUAUUCGCAUUGUGUAUUUCCACAAUUUUACUUCUGCACUGUUCUUAACCUUUUGAUCCCUCUGAAAGACUGAGUUACAAUGCCUGCCCUUCCUCCCUGGCUCUCCCACCUCUCUCUUUCAGCAGUUUUGUGCAAAUACUGACUGGAUCCCUUACCUGGAGGAUAUUUAUUUGAAUUUGUUCUAACGAUGAUCCAGCAUAUUUCCCAAGCGUCGCUCCAUAAAUGUCCAGAGGAUUUCUCGAUUUCACAAUCUGUGGUUGUUCUUCUGGUUCUUCACUCACUGCACUUGCUUUCUGUUUGAAAGCUUAGUCUGCAAUUGGAGAAUUCAAACAGGUCCACAUCCAGGUCUGACAGUCACUUUGUUUAUCACAACCCAGUGACCUCAGGAUUUUGAACAUUGAAGGAAAAAGCAGCAUUCACACUGGGGAGAAAUGCACAUGGUCUGUAAAGAGUCUGUGAAGAUUCAUCUGAAAUGUCCGAACACCAGCGCAGUAACACUGGGGAGAGACUGUGGAAAUGUGCAGAUUGCAGGAACGAAUUUUUUAAUCCAUCCCAGCUAGAAACUGACCACCAGAGUCACACUGGAGAGAAACCAUUCACCUACUCUGAUUGUGUAAUGGGAUUCACUCAGUCCUCUAACCUGCUUAAACACCAGUGAGUUCGCACUGUCGAGAAACCAUUUACAUGCUUGAAAUGUGGGAAAGCGUUCACUCGGACAUAUCAACCGCUGAUGCACGAGCAAAUUCACACUGGAGGGAGACUGUUGGCCUGUUCUGCAUGAGGGAAAGGCUUUGCUGACUCAAAUUGCCCGCUGAUCCAACAGCUACUUCACUCUGGUGAGUGACCAUUCAUCUGCUCCCAGUGUGGGAAGGGAAUCACUUGCUCACCUAACAUACAGAGCGUUCACACUGGGGAGAAACCAUUCAUCUGCUCUAAAUGUGAGAAAGCAUUCACUUGGUCAUCCUACCUGCUUGUGUUCCAGCAGGUUCACACUGGGAGAACCCAUUCAUGAGCUCUGAGUGGGGAAAGCAUUCACUCAGUUAUCCAAACUGUUAACACACCAGUGAGUUCACAAAGAAGCACAGUUGAAUGAUUUUGCUGUCACUCUCACUAUCAAGUGAACCAUGGCUUUGGGCUGUUUGUACUGAUGUUACUGAUCCCUGCUCAAUUAAAGGGAGCGAUGGACUUGAACCUCGCAAACUCCUGAACACCUCUUAAGAAUUUCAUCAAACUGACCCCCAGUGGCAGGAAUGGACAGGGUCAGCUUGGAUUGAUGAUCAUAAUUCAGGCUCAACAAGUCUACUGGAACAUUUUGAGAAUGUAAUUAGUGGUGAGUGUGGCCACCUCUCUGUACUGUAGUGAUACAGAUUCCCAGAUCCUGAUUAUCCCCAAAUGGCUGACUGACAGUGUCAAAGUCCCUGGGCUGAUAUUGAAUGAUUCCUUGGCCAUUUUGUGUCAGGAUCUCCUGACUGAAUACUAUCUCCCUUGCCUUGACUGAGAACUGUUUCCCUGAGACUUUGCGAUGUGACCAUUUGGUCGAAACACAUGUGUUUGUUGCCACAGCUGCUGACCAGCCCUUGGCUGACUGCUGGUAAUAACAGUGCUAAGCUGCCUGGCUUAUGCCUGCAAUAAACAACCAGGCAAGACAGGAGCACUGAGACAUUAAGUUCUAGUUGAGACGUCAAAGUGCAAAAAUGCCAAGGAAGGGCAGAGAUAUUGCGGCAUAACUUGUGUCAGGUGCUGAAAAGCUUGUAGAGUUCUUAGAGCAAGAAUGUACUAUGUGGACAGGCAAUUCUGCAUCUUGAUGUAGCAUUUUUAUUUAACUCUGGCUCAUUUCGCUAGAUUUGCAAAUAUCUCUUGGUCUGGCUAAUGUGAGAAUUGGCUUUCGGAGUAAUGUGCCACCGACUGUCAUUCACAGUUGUAUCCCACAUCAGUGAAUUGGUAAUCUGAUUAAGCGCUCAGGCCUUGGCUUGAGAAAAAUAAAGCAGACACAUGCACACUUGUUUGAUUAGUUGCUCUGCACUCAAAUGAAAAACGUGCAUUGUAUAUGCCAUAUCCUUUCCUGGCUCAGUGUUUCCAAAAUCUCUAGUUCAAUACAUCCCAAGUUGUCAUCAUCAGAGUCAAAACUAGUGAAUACUUUGAUAGCUUCAUCUUUUUUUUUCUGAAAUGCUAUUUAUAUUGAGGCAGUGUUGGCAGGU
This is a long non-coding RNA of Stegostoma tigrinum, 2655 nucleotides long. RefSeq lists it as uncharacterized. The transcript is spliced from 5 exons. The record is from RefSeq and is a predicted model, not a curated record. Lineage: Eukaryota; Metazoa; Chordata; Chondrichthyes; Orectolobiformes; Stegostomatidae.